GAUGAACGCUGGCUACAGGCUUAACACAUGCAAGUCGAGGGGAAACGGCAUUGAGUGCUUGCACUGAAUGGACGUCGACCGGCGCACGGGUGAGUAACGCGUAUCCAACCUUCCCGUUACUGCGGGAUAACCUGCCGAAAGGCAGACUAAUACCGCAUGUUCUUCGAUGACGGCAUCAGAUUCGAAGCAAAGAUCCGUCGGUAACGGAGGGGGAUGCGUCUGAUUAGCUAGUUGGCGGGGCGACGGCCCACCAAGGCGACGAUCAGUAGGGGUUCUGAGAGGAAGGUCCCCCACAUUGGAACUGAGACACGGUCCAAACUCCUACGGGAGGCAGCAGUGAGGAAUAUUGGUCAAUGGGCGGAAGCCUGAACCAGCCAAGUAGCGUGCAGGAGGACGGCCCUACGGGUUGUAAACUGCUUUUAUGCGGGGAUAAAGUGAGGGACGCGUCCCUUUUUGCAGGUA
This 462-nucleotide ribosomal RNA is filed under the name Prevotella denticola. RNAcentral's name for it is "bacterial SSU rRNA". It matches the Rfam family "Bacterial small subunit ribosomal RNA", at positions 28 to 477 of the family's 1533-position model. Lineage: Bacteria; Pseudomonadati; Bacteroidota; Bacteroidia; Bacteroidales; Prevotellaceae. The record is from RNAcentral.